CCUACGGGUGGCAGCAGUGGGGAAUAUUGGGCACUGGGCGCAAGCCUGACCCAGCAACGCCGCGUGACGGAAGAAGGCCCUCGGGUUGUACACUUCUUUUAUUCGGGACGAAACAAAUGACGGUACCGAAUGAAUCAGCCACGGCUAACUACGGGCCCGCAGCCGCGGUAAUACGUAGGUGGCACGCGUUAUCCGGAUUGAAUGGGUGUAAAGGGCGUGUAGGCGGGAGAGCAAGUCAGACGUGAAAUUCCAGGGCUCAAACAUGGAACUGGGUUUGAAACUGUUCUUCUUGAGUGAUGGAGAGGCAGGCGGAAUGCCGUGUGGAGCGGUGAAAUGCGUAGAUAUACGGAGGAACCCCAGUGGCGAAGGCGGCCUGCUGGACAUUAACUGACGCUGAGGCGCGAAAGCGUGGGGAGCAAACAGGAUUAGAUACCCCUGUAGUC
Molecule: ribosomal RNA, 443 nt
Filed under: uncultured bacterium
Lineage: Bacteria
Description: partial 16S ribosomal RNA
Rfam family: Bacterial small subunit ribosomal RNA
Source: RNAcentral